Molecule: ribosomal RNA, 300 nt
Filed under: uncultured bacterium
Lineage: Bacteria
Description: bacterial SSU rRNA
Rfam family: Bacterial small subunit ribosomal RNA
Source: RNAcentral
CGCGGCCUACGGGACGCAGCAGUGGGGAAUAUUGCACAAUGGGGGGAACCCUGAUGCAGCGACGCCGCGUGAGUGAAGAAGUAUUUCGGUAUGUAAAGCUCUGCCAGCAGGGAAGAAGAAAGACGGUACCUGACCAAGAAGCCCCGGCUAACUACGUGCCAGCAGCCGCGGUAAUACGUAGGGGGCAAGCGUUAUCCGGAUUUACUGGGUGUAAAGGGAGCGUAGACGGCAGAGCAAGUCUGGAGUGAAAGGCAGGGGCCCAACCCCUGGACUGCUCUGGAAACUGUCCGGCUGGCGUGC